This is a non-coding RNA of Meleagris gallopavo (turkey), 939 nucleotides long. The record is from RefSeq and is a predicted model, not a curated record. NCBI's taxonomy places the organism in Eukaryota, Metazoa, Chordata, Aves, Galliformes, Phasianidae.
UGUGAAAACUGAAGCCCAUUCUUUAUGGAUUAAUUACAGCAGAGCAGUUGCCAAGUGAUCUUCUCCACAGCACCCACGAACUUUGGCCUUACACUGAAGAGGACUCGUCAAAUGCCUUGGGAGAUACAACACAGAAUUGGAAGAGAAGCAUGGAUCUACACGAAGGGCAGUCCGCUGCAUUCUUGGUGUGUGGAGGAACGGGUCCUGUGCUCACUGUUGUUACUCCCACAUAGGCGGACUCUGUAACUGAUUAUAUGUGGGUAGGGCCCUAUUGAAAUUAAGGAGAUUCUGCAGUAGUGCGGGGUUCUGUUUGUGUGACCCUACUGUGCCUUCUUACUGUGAAUUCUGUCAGUGUAUCAUGGGUUGUGCUGGAACCUGCCUUUUGGGAUAAUUACCAAAUAAUAUAUUCCUCAAAACUUCUUAAUGGCACUGAGGCUUUGUGGAUAGUUGGUCACAUGAUGAGAAAAUUCAGCUGUAAGUACACUGAAAUGAUUGAAUUUUUCAAUAGUUAGUCUUUGCUGAUGUUGACAAACUAAUAAUGAUAAAAGGGUUAAUCAAGAGGUGUGAUUUAUGUGCGACUCUGGUUCUUUUUAGAGCAUACAGACAAUAUAUAUCCAUUAGGGAUAUCAUUAUUCUUGGGUAAUUCACCACGUGAACCUGGAGUCCUUCAGCACUGCUGUUAGGUAGGGAGUUUUAAUUUCUUUAUUUCCUUUGCUUUCAGAAGAAUGUGUUUCUGACCUGCUCUCUAUCUUCACCCAUAAAAUUUUCCAAAUUUAUAGAUCUAUAAAAACUGUUUAUACCACCAGUAUUUGUGUAGCUACUGCAAGCAGAUUUACUAACAUAAUUGUCUUGCUGAGUUGAACGUUGAAAUGUUAAUAAAUACAUACUUAUGCUCAUGUCAAAGUAACUUGCUUAAAUUAAACUAAACUGAUCUGACGU